CCUACGGGAGGCAGCAGUGGGGAAUAUUGCACAAUGGGGGAAACCCUGAUGCAGCGACGCCGCGUGAGUGAAGAAGUAUUUCGGUACGUAAAGCUCUAUCAGCAGGGAAGUAAAUGACGGUACCUGACUAAGAAGCUCCGGCUAACUACGUGCCAGCAGCCGCGGUAAUACGUAGGGGGCAGGCGUUAUCCGGAUUUACUGGGUGUAAAGGGAGCGUAGACGGCAGCGCAAGGCUGGAGUGAAAUCCCAUGGCUUAACCAUGGAACUGCUGUGGAAACUGUGCAGCUAGAGUGCAGGAGAGGUGAGCGGAAUUCCUAGUGUAGCGGUGAAAUGCGUAGAUAUUAGGAGGAACACCAGUGGCGAAGGCGGCUUACUGGACUGUAACUGACGUUGAGGCUCGAAAGCGUGGGGAGCAAACAGGAUUAGAUACCCGGGUAGUC
Molecule: ribosomal RNA, 440 nt
Filed under: uncultured bacterium
Lineage: Bacteria
Description: partial 16S ribosomal RNA
Rfam family: Bacterial small subunit ribosomal RNA
Source: RNAcentral